RNAcentral lists this ribosomal RNA (216 nucleotides) under Glomeromycotina sp. RNAcentral describes it as "partial small subunit ribosomal RNA". The stretch from base 75 to 216 matches the Rfam family "Eukaryotic small subunit ribosomal RNA", at positions 721 to 864 of the family's 1831-position model. Lineage: Eukaryota; Fungi; Glomeromycota. The record is from RNAcentral.
GGGUCAGUAGGUUGGUCGUGCCACCGGUACGUACUGGUCUCACUGAUUCCUCCUUCCCGAAGAACCGUAAUGCCAUUAAUUUGGUGUUGCGGGGAAACAGGACUGUUACUUUGAAAAAAUUAGAGUGUUUAAAGCAAGCGAACGCUUGAAUACAUUAGCAUGGGAUAAUGAAAUAGGACGAUCGAUCCUAUUUUGUUGGUUUCUAGGAUUGACGUA